CCAAAGGCUCUUUUAAGAGCCACCCAUAUCUUCUCCAAAGAGCAA
This is a regulatory RNA element of Scleropages formosus (Asian bonytongue), 45 nucleotides long. It matches the Rfam family "Histone 3' UTR stem-loop". From Rfam's summary of the family: The mRNAs of metazoan histone genes lack a poly-A tail. 3' end processing occurs at a site between a highly conserved stem-loop (modelled by this family) and a purine rich region around 20 nts downstream (the histone downstream element, or HDE). Lineage: Eukaryota; Metazoa; Chordata; Actinopteri; Osteoglossiformes; Osteoglossidae. The record is from Rfam.